This 2432-nucleotide ribosomal RNA is filed under the name Wilmottia murrayi ACKU581. RNAcentral's name for it is "partial contains 16S ribosomal RNA, 16S-23S ribosomal RNA intergenic spacer, and 23S ribosomal RNA". The stretch from base 1 to 1470 matches the Rfam family "Bacterial small subunit ribosomal RNA". The record is from RNAcentral. Lineage: Bacteria; Bacillati; Cyanobacteriota; Cyanophyceae; Coleofasciculales; Wilmottiaceae.
UGGCUCAGGAUGAACGCUGGCGGUCUGCUUAACACAUGCAAGUCGAACGGAGUAGAAAUACUUAGUGGCGGACGGGUGAGUAACGCGUGAGAAUCUGCCCUUAGGUCGGGGACAACCAUUGGAAACGAUGGCUAAUACCGGAUAAGCCGGAAGGUAAAAGAUUAAUUGCCUAGGGAAGAGCUCGCGUCUGAUUAGCUAGUUGGUGAGGUAAAAGCUCACCAAGGCAUCGAUCAGUAGCUGGUCUGAGAGGAUGACCAGCCACACUGGGACUGAGACACGGCCCAGACUCCUACGGGAGGCAGCAGUGGGGAAUUUUCCGCAAUGGGCGAAAGCCUGACGGAGCAAGACCGCGUGAGGGAGGAAGGCUCUUGGGUUGUAAACCUCUUUUCUUGGGGAAGAACAAAAUGACGGUACCCAAGGAAUCAGCAUCGGCUAACUCCGUGCCAGCAGCCGCGGUAAUACGGAGGAUGCAAGCGUUAUCCGGAAUUAUUGGGCGUAAAGCGUCCGCAGGUGGCACUUCAAGUCUGCUGUCAAAGACCGGGGCUUAACCCUGGAGAGGCAGUGGAAACUGAAGCGCUAGAGUGUCGUAGGGGUAGAGGGAAUUCCUGGUGUAGCGGUGAAAUGCGUAGAGAUCAGGAAGAACAUCGGUGGCGAAAGCGCUCUACUGGACGACAACUGACACUCAGGGACGAAAGCUAGGGGAGCGAAUGGGAUUAGAUACCCCAGUAGUCCUAGCCGUAAACGAUGGAUACUAGGUGUGGCUUGUAUCGACCCGAGCCGUGCCGUAGCUAACGCGUUAAGUAUCCCGCCUGGGGAGUACGCGCGCAAGCGUGAAACUCAAAGGAAUUGACGGGGGCCCGCACAAGCGGUGGAGUAUGUGGUUUAAUUCGAUGCAACGCGAAGAACCUUACCAGGGCUUGACAUGUCUGGAAUCUCUUUGAAAGAAGAGAGUGCCUUCGGGAACCAGAACACAGGUGGUGCAUGGCUGUCGUCAGCUCGUGUCGUGAGAUGUUGGGUUAAGUCCCGCAACGAGCGCAACCCUCGUUUUUAGUUGCCAUCAUUAAGUUGGGCACUCUAGAGAGACUGCCGGUGACAAACCGGAGGAAGGUGGGGAUGACGUCAAGUCAGCAUGCCCCUUACGUCCUGGGCUACACACGUACUACAAUGCGACGGACAAAGGGCAGCCAACCAGCAAUGGUGCGCUAAUCCCAUAAACCGUGGCUCAGUUCAGAUCGCAGGCUGCAACUCGCCUGCGUGAAGGAGGAAUCGCUAGUAAUUGCAGGUCAGCAUACUGCAGUGAAUCCGUUCCCGGGCCUUGUACACACCGCCCGUCACACCAUGGAAGCUGGCCACGCCCGAAGUCGUUACCCUAACCUGUAUUGGAGGGGGAUGCCGAAGGCAGGGCUGGUGACUGGGGUGAAGUCGUAACAAGGUAGCCGUACCGGAAGGUGUGGCUGGAUCACCUCCUUUUAGGGAGACCUGUUUGACAAUCGGUAAUUAAGAUGAAAAUCUUAGUUGCGUUUGUCAAAGCAUCCCAAGGUCGUACGAGGCAGUAGACUUAAACUUUUAAACUAUUAACCGGUUCGGUGCAUGGGCUAUUAGCUCAGGUGGUUAGAGCGCACCCCUGAUAAGGGUGAGGUCCCUGGUUCGAGUCCAGGAUGGCCCAUCCUCUGCACUGUGAGUGAUAAGUAAUUAGGAACUCAACCCUCAGCACCUUAUUUUGGUAACAAUCAAAACUUGAUUGGUCUCAAAAGAGAAUGCUGGGCGUAAAGUCCAGUCAUGUACCUUGAAAACUGCAUAGCAAAAAGAAGAGAAACUUGAAGAAAUUUCUAGUAGCAAGUGCUUACUUAAGUUAAGGACAGCUAGAUAGAGAAACAAUCAAGCAAUAUUCAAGAAAGUGGUCAAGCUACAAAGAGCUUAUGGUGGAUACCUAGGCACACAGAGGCGAAGAAGGACGUAGCGACCGACGAAACGUUCCGGGGAGCUGGAAGCAAGCGAUGAGCCGGAAAUCUCCGAAUGGGGCAACCCCAAGUACAGCCUGUUGAAUCUAUAGACAGGUAUGAGCCAACCCAGCGAACUGAAACAUCUUAGUAGCUGGAGGAAAAGAAAUCAAAAGAGAUUCCCCUAGUAGCGGCGAGCGAAGCGGGAAGAGCCUAAACCAGUUGUUUUAAUAACUGGGGUCGUGGGACAGCGUCAUGGAAUCAGAAGCACUAGACGAAGCUGAAGGAAUGCAGCACCAGAGGAGGUGAAAGUCCUGUAGUCGAAAGUGGCAAGAUACUAGCUGUAUCCCGAGUAGCAUGGGGCACGUGAAAUCCCGUGUGAAUCAGCGAGGACCAUCUCGUAAGGCUAAAUACUCCUGUGUGACCGAUAGUGAACCAGUACCGCGAGGGAAAGGUGAAAAGAACCCCGGAAGGGGAGUGAAAUAGAACCUG